RNAcentral lists this transfer RNA (74 nucleotides) under Alligator mississippiensis (American alligator). It matches the Rfam family "tRNA". Rfam says of the family: Transfer RNA (tRNA) molecules are approximately 80 nucleotides in length. Their secondary structure includes four short double-helical elements and three loops (D, anti-codon, and T loops). The record is from Rfam by way of RNAcentral. Lineage: Eukaryota; Metazoa; Chordata; Crocodylia; Alligatoridae.
GGCAUUUUUGCUUAGUUGGUUCAAACACCUGCCUUGUAAACAGGCGAUCCUAGGUUCAAAUCCCAGAAAUGCCU